This 542-nucleotide ribosomal RNA is filed under the name uncultured bacterium. RNAcentral describes it as "bacterial SSU rRNA". It matches the Rfam family "Bacterial small subunit ribosomal RNA", at positions 777 to 1320 of the family's 1533-position model. The record is from RNAcentral.
AAUAGAUACCCAGGUAGUCCACGCCGUAAACGAUGAAUACUAGGUGUAGGGGUUGUCAUGACCUCUGUGCCGCCGCUAACGCAUUAAGUAUUCCGCCUGGGGAGUACGGUCGCAAGAUUAAAACUCAAAGGAAUUGACGGGGGCCCGCACAAGCAGCGGAGCAUGUGGUUUAAUUCGAAGCAACGCGAAGAACCUUACCUAGACUUGACAUCUCCUGCAUUACUCUUAAUCGAGGAAGUCUUUUCGGGGACAGGAUGACAGGUGGUGCAUGGUUGUCGUCAGCUCGUGUCGUGAGAUGUUGGGUUAAGUCCCGCAACGAGCGCAACCCUUAUUGUUAGUUGCCAUCAUUAAGUUGGGCACUUUAGCGAGACUGCCCGGGUUAACCGGGAGGAAGGUGGGGAUGACGUCAAAUCAUCAUGCCCCUUAUGUCUAGGGCUACACACGUGCUACAAUGGUCGGUACAAUAAGACGCAAGCCCGCGAGGGGGAGCAAAACUGGAAAACCGAUCUCAGUUCGGAUUGUAGGCUGAAACCCCGCCUACA